RNAcentral lists this long non-coding RNA (1256 nucleotides) under Phaseolus vulgaris (common bean). RNAcentral's name for it is "long non-coding RNA (PVUL_LNC002994)". The record is from RNAcentral. Lineage: Eukaryota; Viridiplantae; Streptophyta; Magnoliopsida; Fabales; Fabaceae.
UCUGUUUACAAUUGCACAAGUUGGAUGGUGGGAUUGGAUAAGAAAUAAACACGCCAAAACCAAAUUUUCUUAUUCAGUAUGCGACUCAAAACCUUAUGAGCAGCCACUGAAAAUGUGUAAUUGAGAGUAUUCCAAGUCACUUACUAUUCCACUUCCAAGUGUGGCUACUACUCAUCUGCAACUUAUUCACGGGGUUUCUCAUAAUUAUGGUCACGAAUGAAUCACAAGCAGAAAAUAAUAUGGAGAAAAUUGUGCAGUUUUAGCUCUCCCAAUUGGAGCAUCUAUCACCCUCUCCUCCGCGGUUUCCCCUGCAUAAGUGAGUCUGCUGGAGCACAGAUUGCAUGGUGCAGGGUCUUUUCAAAAGUGAAGCUAAGGAUGAGGGUGCUGGUCUUUUUGCUGAUGCAGGCUUUCUUUUGGAAACCAAUGCAAAACAAACGUGAAGCUAAGUAGAAAGGGUGCAGUUUUUUCUUGUGUUUAUGACCAAUUAUGCUGAAUGGUGUUCAGAAAUUUGAGAGGAUUUUGGUGCCUUUUCAAUUGUUAGUGCAGGUAGAUCAAGCCUUCGACAAUAUACAUGUAUCUUCCCAAGAGGAUGCUGUUUUGAUUAACUGGGGCAGCAGAAGGAAUGACUACAUAGAGGAGGCAAUGCUAUUUGGGUGUGUGGAGAUGGAUGUGGCAGAGGUUUUAUUUCUCAAUUCUCACCUCAAUUUUAUAAUUUCGCUAGUAAAUUUUAUUAACUUUUUAUUUUUAUUUUUUUAACUCAAUCUUCUCACUUACUUAAUUACUUACCUAAAAUCUUCUUAGGAUUUUUAUGUAGGUUAUGUAGAGGCAAUGGUGUGCUGAUUUUGUGAUAGUAUGGGGUCACUGGCAAUGCAAGAGUAUUAAGAGGGUUAUGGGAAUGCGUGAAAAAUUCAUUGGUUUUGAUCUUAUCUUUAGCAGAUAUAAUAUAAUGAGAUUCGGUUAUGUAGGUUAUGUAGAUAUUGUUGAUUUUGGUUUAAUCCUAAGUCGCACAUCGAUGGGUUUAUUAUUUGGGAAGGAGGUUUGAGGGUUAUAAAAUAACAUCUCCUCCUUCACUGUUAAAUAUUUCAAUUUGUAAUAUAUUCUCCCAUAAUAAUAAAAGUGGGCUGGUUCAGCUCUGCUCGGAGAUUAGGCUAAAUUGGUCGAACUCCGUUAACAAUUUUCUGGUGUGUUUUUUCCUCUUUAUCUCUUUUAUUAUUCCGCUCUGUUUAUUCAAUAUUAUUUGUCGGGUAGCUCUGUUA